GAUGAGAAGCUUGCUUCUCUGAUGUUAGCGGCGGACGGGUGAGUAACACGUGGGUAACCUACCUAUAAGACUGGGAUAACUCCGGGAAACCGGGGCUAAUACCGGAUAAUAUUUUGAACCGCAUGGUUCAAUAGUGAAAGACGGUUUCGGCUGUCACUUAUAGAUGGACCCGCGCCGUAUUAGCUAGUUGGUAAGGUAAUGGCUUACCAAGGCGACGAUACGUAGCCGACCUGAGAGGGUGAUCGGCCACACUGGAACUGAGACACGGUCCAGACUCCUACGGGAGGCAGCAGUAGGGAAUCUUCCGCAAUGGGCGAAAGCCUGACGGAGCAACGCCGCGUGAGUGAUGAAGGUCUUCGGAUCGUAAAACUCUGUUGUUAGGGAAGAACAAAUUUGUUAGUAACUGAACAAGUCUUGACGGUACCUAACCAGAAAGCCACGGCUAACUACGUGCCAGCAGCCGCGGUAAUACGUAGGUGGCAAGCGUUAUCCGGAAUUAUUGGGCGUAAAGCGCGCGUAGGCGGUUUCUUAAGUCUGAUGUGAAAGCCCACGGCUCAACCGUGGAGGGUCAUUGGAAACUGGGAAACUUGAGUGCAGAAGAGGAGAGUGGAAUUCCAUGUGUAGCGGUGAAAUGCGCAGAGAUAUGGAGGAACACCAGUGGCGAAGGCGGCUCUCUGGUCUGUAACUGACGCUGAUGUGCGAAAGCGUGGGGAUCAAACAGGAUUAGAUACCCUGGUAGUCCACGCCGUAAACGAUGAGUGCUAAGUGUUAGGGGGUUUCCGCCCCUUAGUGCUGCAGCUAACGCAUUAAGCACUCCGCCUGGGGAGUACGACCGCAAGGUUGAAACUCAAAGGAAUUGACGGGGACCC
Molecule: ribosomal RNA, 869 nt
Filed under: Mammaliicoccus sciuri
Lineage: Bacteria; Bacillati; Bacillota; Bacilli; Caryophanales; Staphylococcaceae
Description: bacterial SSU rRNA
Rfam family: Bacterial small subunit ribosomal RNA
Source: RNAcentral